Gasterosteus aculeatus aculeatus (three-spined stickleback) is the source of this 627-nucleotide long non-coding RNA. Lineage: Eukaryota; Metazoa; Chordata; Actinopteri; Perciformes; Gasterosteidae. The record is from Ensembl.
CCCCCCCCCCCCCCUCCUCAAAUUCCCCAUCUUUUUUUGCUACUUUCCUCUCUCUCGCUCUCCAAAUCGCUCUCCCUCUUGUAUUCACAGAGUCAUUGACAAGACAUUCAAAGCUUUUUCAAAUUGGCCAGCCUCAUUGUGGCUGUUCUAAAGUGGAGGGGGGGCUCGGCUGGAGCGAGCGGGAGUGUAAAGAGGAGUGGGCCUAAAUAUACUCCGGUCUGAACGUAGUUAGAUCAUGUUCUUUUCAUGGUCCGAUUAGAAUCAAAUCGAUCCCCCCCCCCCCUGACACUCAGAGGUCUGAAGAGGAGCAGCCGGACAAAGAUUCCUCGGUGGAGACGGAUGAAUGAACCCAACCUGCUGAAUGCUAAACACAACCUUUAAGUGAGAGAUGGAGACAGAUAUGGUUCCUCAUCUAUGGAUCAUGAACCAGGCUGAGGACCCGUCAGAAGGUACUGCUGGUUCCUCAUCUAUGGAUCAUGAACCAGGCUGAGGACCCGUCAGAAGGUACUGCUGGUUCCUCAUCUAUGGAUCAGAAACCAGCCUGAGGACCCGUCAGAAGGUACUGCUGGUUCCUCAUCAAUGGAUCAUGAACCAGCCUGAGGACCCGUCAGAAGGUACUGCUGGUUC